Molecule: ribosomal RNA, 485 nt
Filed under: uncultured bacterium
Lineage: Bacteria
Description: partial 16S ribosomal RNA
Rfam family: Bacterial small subunit ribosomal RNA
Source: RNAcentral
UUGAACGCUGGCGGCAUGCCUUACACAUGCAAGUCGAACGGCAGCACGGGUGCUUGCACCUGGUGGCGAGUGGCGAACGGGUGAGUAAUACAUCGGAACAUGUCCUGUAGUGGGGGAUAGCCCGGCGAAAGCCGGAUUAAUACCGCAUACGAUCUACGGAUGAAAGCGGGGGACCUUCGGGCCUCGCGCUAUAGGGUUGGCCGAUGGCUGAUUAGCUAGUUGGUGGGGUAAAGGCCUACCAAGGCGACGAUCAGUAGCUGGUCUGAGAGGGCGACCAGCCACACUGGGACUGAGACACGGCCCAGACUCCUACGGGAGGCAGCAGUGGGGAAUUUUGGACAAUGGGCGAAAGCCUGAUCCAGCAAUGCCGCGUGUGUGAAGAAGGCCUUCGGGUUGUAAAGCACUUUUGUCCGGAAAGAAAUCCUUGGCCCUAAUACGGUCGGGGGAUGACGGUACCGGAAGAAUAAGCACCGGCUAACUACGUG